Molecule: ribosomal RNA, 253 nt
Filed under: uncultured bacterium
Lineage: Bacteria
Description: partial 16S ribosomal RNA
Rfam family: Bacterial small subunit ribosomal RNA
Source: RNAcentral
UACGUAGGGUGCGAGCGUUAAUCGGAAUUACUGGGCGUAAAGGGCGUGUAGGUGGUUACGUAAGUCUGGCGUGAAAUUUUUCGGCUUAACCGGGAAAGGUCGUCGGAUACUGCGGGACUAGAGGACGGUAGAGGCGUGUGGAAUUCCGGGUGUAGUGGUGAAAUGCGUAGAGAUCCGGAGGAACACCAGUGGCGAAGGCGACACGCUGGGCCGUACCUGACACUGAUGCGCGACAGCAUGGGGAGCAAACAGG